Molecule: ribosomal RNA, 468 nt
Filed under: uncultured bacterium
Lineage: Bacteria
Description: partial 16S ribosomal RNA
Rfam family: Bacterial small subunit ribosomal RNA
Source: RNAcentral
GACGAACGCUGGCGGCGUGCUUAAUACAUGCAAGUCGAACGGAAAGGCCCUGCUUUUGUGGGGUGCUCGAGUGGCGAACGGGUGAGUAACACGUGAGUAACCUGCCCUCGACGUUGGGAUAACUUCAGGAAACUGGGGCUAAUACCGGAUAUGAGCUCCUGCUGCGUGUGGGUGGUUGGAGAGUUGCGGCGGUUGGGGAUGGACUCGCGGCUUAUCAGCUUGUUGGUGGGGGAGUGUCUUGCCAAGGCUUUGACGGGUAGCCGGCCUGAGAGGGUGACCGGCCACAAUGGGACUGAGAUACGGCCCAGACUCCUACGGGAGGCAGCAGUGGGGAAUAUUGCACAGUGGGCGGAAGCCAGAUGCAGAAACGCCGCGUGCGGGAUGACGGCCUUCGAGUUGUAAACCGCUUUCGCAUGUGACGAAGCGUGAGUGACGGUAAUGAGUAAAGAAGCACCGGCUAACUACGUG